This 165-nucleotide ribosomal RNA is filed under the name uncultured bacterium. RNAcentral describes it as "partial 16S ribosomal RNA". It matches the Rfam family "Bacterial small subunit ribosomal RNA", at positions 355 to 511 of the family's 1533-position model. The record is from RNAcentral.
UAGGGAAUCUUCCACAAUGGGCGCAAGCCUGAUGGAGCAACACCGCGUGAGUGAAGAAGGGUUUCGGCUCGUAAAGCUCUGUUAGUUAAAGAAGAACACGUAUGAGAGUAACUGUUCAUACGUUGACGGUAUUUAACCAGAAAGUCACGGCUAACUACGUGCCAG